This 76-nucleotide transfer RNA is filed under the name Hemiselmis andersenii. RNAcentral's name for it is "tRNA-Leu". It matches the Rfam family "tRNA". From Rfam's summary of the family: Transfer RNA (tRNA) molecules are approximately 80 nucleotides in length. Their secondary structure includes four short double-helical elements and three loops (D, anti-codon, and T loops). Lineage: Eukaryota; Cryptophyceae; Cryptomonadales; Hemiselmidaceae. The record is from RNAcentral.
ACGGAUAUGAUGUAAUUGGCAAACAUACUAAGUUUAGGUUUUAGUUCCUUUGGCGGUUCGAGUCCGCCUAUCCGUA